CCCUCGGGGCCCACUCCCACCCGUGUUGCCCGAACUAUGUUGCCUCGGCGGGCCCCGCGCCCGCGACGGCCCCCUGAACGCUGUCUGAAGUUGCAGUCUGAGACCUAUAACGAAAUUAGUUAAAACUUUCAACAACGGAUCUCUUGGUUCCGGCAUCGAUGAAGAACGCAGCGAAAUGCGAUAACUAAUGUGAAUUGCAGAAUUCAGUGAAUCAUCGAGUCUUUGAACGCACAUUGCGCCCUCUGGUAUUCCGGAGGGCAUGCCUGUCCGAGCGUCAUUGCUGCCCUCAAGCCCGGCUUGUGUGUUGGGCCCCGUCCCCCCCGCCGGGGGGACGGGCCCGAAAGGCAGCGGCGGCACCGCGUCCGGUCCUCGAGCGUAUGGGGCUUCGUCACCCGCUCUAGUAGCCCGGCCGGCGCCAGCCGACCCCCAACUUUAAUUAUCUCAGUUGACCUCGGAUCAGGUAGGAUAC
This 469-nucleotide ribosomal RNA is filed under the name Penicillium citrinum. RNAcentral's name for it is "eukaryotic LSU rRNA". The stretch from base 124 to 277 matches the Rfam family "5.8S ribosomal RNA". Lineage: Eukaryota; Fungi; Ascomycota; Eurotiomycetes; Eurotiales; Aspergillaceae. The record is from RNAcentral.